GGGGGGGGGUCUCAGUGGUUAGGAGCACUGACUGCUCUUUCAGAGGACCAGGGUUCAAUUCCCUGCACCCUCA
RNAcentral lists this transfer RNA (73 nucleotides) under Mesocricetus auratus (golden hamster). It matches the Rfam family "tRNA". Rfam says of the family: Transfer RNA (tRNA) molecules are approximately 80 nucleotides in length. Their secondary structure includes four short double-helical elements and three loops (D, anti-codon, and T loops). Lineage: Eukaryota; Metazoa; Chordata; Mammalia; Rodentia; Cricetidae. The record is from Rfam by way of RNAcentral.